AGAAGGCCUUCGGGUUGUAAAGCUCUGUCGGAAGGGACAAAAACGUUUAGGGUUUAAUAGCCUUAGAUCUUGAUGGUACCUUUAAAGGAAGCACCGGCUAACUUCGUGC
RNAcentral lists this ribosomal RNA (109 nucleotides) under uncultured bacterium. RNAcentral describes it as "partial 16S ribosomal RNA". The record is from RNAcentral.